This 253-nucleotide ribosomal RNA is filed under the name uncultured bacterium. RNAcentral describes it as "partial 16S ribosomal RNA". It matches the Rfam family "Bacterial small subunit ribosomal RNA", at positions 524 to 776 of the family's 1533-position model. The record is from RNAcentral.
UACAGAGGAUGCAAGCGUUAUCCGGAAUGAUUGGGCGUAAAGCGUCUGUAGGUGGCUUUUUAAGUCCGCCGUCAAAUCCCAGGGCUCAACUCUGGACAGGCGGUGGAAACUACCAAGCUGGAGUACGGUAGGGGCAGAGGGAAUUUCCGGUGGAGCGGUGAAAUGCGUAGAUAUCUGGAGGAACACCGGUGGCGAAGGCGGCAUCCUGGACCGGCAUUGACGCUGAGGAGCGAAAGCCAGGGGAGCAAACGGG